CGUAUCACCCAAGACAACUUUACGGAGUUGACGAUUGACGGAGCGAAGCGACGUCAAAGCGUUCAUUAAAGUCGAGUUGGCUUAGGGAUACGUUCGUUGGGUAGGGGAGCGUUCUGUAAGCCUGUGAAGGUGUGUCGUGAGGCAUGCUGGAGGUAUCAGAAGUGCGAAUGCUGACAUAAGUAACGAUAAAGCGGGUGAAAAGCCCGCUCGCCGGAAGACCAAGGGUUCCUGUCCAACGUUAAUCGGGGCAGGGUGAGUCGACCCCUAAGGCGAGGCCGAAAGGCGUAGUCGAUGGGAAACGGGUUAAUAUUCCCGUACUUGGUGUUACUGCGAAGGGGGGACGGAGAAGGCUAUGUUGGCCGGGCGACGGUUGUCCCGGUUUAAGCGUGUAGGUGUGUGUUCCAGGUAAAUCCGGUUCACUUUAACACUGAGGCGUGACGACGAGGCACUACGGUGCUGAAGCAACAAAUGCCCUGCUUCCAGGAAAAGCCUCUAAGCAUCAGGUAACACGAAAUCGUACCCCAAACCGACACAGGUGGU
RNAcentral lists this ribosomal RNA (540 nucleotides) under Salmonella enterica. RNAcentral's name for it is "partial 23S ribosomal RNA". It matches the Rfam family "Bacterial large subunit ribosomal RNA", at positions 1154 to 1667 of the family's 2925-position model. Lineage: Bacteria; Pseudomonadati; Pseudomonadota; Gammaproteobacteria; Enterobacterales; Enterobacteriaceae. The record is from RNAcentral.